Molecule: ribosomal RNA, 492 nt
Filed under: uncultured bacterium
Lineage: Bacteria
Description: partial 16S ribosomal RNA
Rfam family: Bacterial small subunit ribosomal RNA
Source: RNAcentral
AGUGAACGCUGGCGGUAGGCCUAACACAUGCAAGUCGAACGGCAGCACAGUAAGAGCUUGCUCUUACGGGUGGCGAGUGGCGGACGGGUGAGGAAUAUAUCGGAAUCUACUUUUUCGUGGGGGAUAACGUAGGGAAACUUACGCCCAUACCGGAUACGACCUACGGGUGAAAGCAGGGGAUCUUCGGACCUUGCGCGAUUGAAUGAGCCGAUGUGGGAUUAGUUAGUUGGGGGGGUAAAGGCCCACCAAGGCGAGGAUCCGUAGCUUGUCUGAGAGGCUGGUCAGCCACACUGGAACUGAGACACGGUCCAGACUCCUACGGGAGGCAGCAGUGGGGAAUGUUGGACAAUGGGCGCAAGCCUGAUCCAGCCAUACCGCGUGUGUUAAGAAGGCCUUCGGGUUGUAAAGCCCUUUUGUUGGGAAAGAAAAGCAGCAGGUUAAUACCCCGCUGUUCUGACGGUACCCAAAGAAUAAGCACCGGCUAACUUCGUG